AGGGCACCACCAGGAGUGGAGCCUGCGGCUUAAUUUGACUCAACACGGGGAAACUCACCCGGCCCGGACACCGUAAGGAUUGACAGAUUGAUAGCUUUUUCAUGAUUCGGUGGAUGGUGGUGCAUGGCCGUUCUUAGUUCGUGGAGCGAUUUGUCUGGUUUAUUCCGAUAACGAGCGAGACUCUAGCCUACUAAAUAGUUCGCACAUUGUCUCUGUGUGUGUGACUUCUUAGAGGGAUUUUCGGUGUUCAGCCGCACGAAAUUGAGCAAUAACAGGUCUGUGAUGCCCUUAGAUGUCCGGGGCUGCACGCGCGCUACACUGGCAAAAUCAGCGUGCUUGUCCUUCCCCGAAAGGGGUUGGUAAACCCUUGAAAAUUUGCCGUGAUUGGGAUUAGAAAUUGCAAUUAUUUUCCAUGAACGAGGAAUUCCAAGUAAGUGCGAGUCAUCAGCUCGCGUUGAUUACGUCCCUGCCCUUUGUACGCACCGCCCGUCGCGGCCCGGGACUGAGCCAUUUCGAGAA
This 519-nucleotide ribosomal RNA is filed under the name uncultured eukaryote. RNAcentral's name for it is "SSU rRNA". It matches the Rfam family "Eukaryotic small subunit ribosomal RNA", at positions 1161 to 1705 of the family's 1831-position model. The record is from RNAcentral.